Molecule: ribosomal RNA, 243 nt
Filed under: uncultured bacterium
Lineage: Bacteria
Description: partial 16S ribosomal RNA
Rfam family: Bacterial small subunit ribosomal RNA
Source: RNAcentral
UAACGCGUGGGCAACCUGCCUUACACAGGGGGAUAACACUUAGAAAUAGGUGCUAAUACCGCAUAAGCGCACAGCUUUGCAUGAAGCAGUGUGAAAAACUCCGGUGGUGUAAGAUGGACCCGCGUCUGAUUAGCUGGUUGGCAGGGUAAAGGCCUGCCAAGGCGACGAUCAGUAGCCGGCCUGAGAGGGUGAACGGCCACAUUGGGACUGAGACACGGCCCAGACUCCUACGGAAGGCAGCAG